RNAcentral lists this ribosomal RNA (424 nucleotides) under Fusobacteriota bacterium. Its description in RNAcentral is "Fusobacteria bacterium partial 16S ribosomal RNA". It matches the Rfam family "Bacterial small subunit ribosomal RNA", at positions 355 to 776 of the family's 1533-position model. The record is from RNAcentral. Lineage: Bacteria; Fusobacteriati; Fusobacteriota.
UGAGGAAUAUUGGGCAAUGGUCGAGAGACUGAACCAGCCAAGUCGCGUGAAGGAUGACUGCCCUAUGGGUUGUAAACUUCUUUUACAAGGGAAUAAAAUGAGAUACGUGUAUUUUAUUGCAUGUACCUUGUGAAUAAGAAUCGGCUAACUCCGUGCCAGCAGCCGCGGUAAUAAGGAGGAUGCGAUCGUUAUCCGGAUUUAUUGGGUUUAAAGGGUGCGUAGGUGGGCUGUUAAGUCAGCGGUGAAAGUUUGUCGCUUAACGAUAAAAUUGCCGUUGAAACUUGUAGUCUUGAGUAUAGAUGAAGUAUGCGGAAUGCGUGGUGUAGCGGUAAAAUGCAUAGCGAUCACGCAGAACUCCGAUUGCGAAGGCAGCUUACUAAGGUAUAACUGCCACUGAAGCACGAAAGCGUGGGUAUCAAACAGG